RNAcentral lists this ribosomal RNA (484 nucleotides) under uncultured bacterium. RNAcentral's name for it is "partial 16S ribosomal RNA". It matches the Rfam family "Bacterial small subunit ribosomal RNA", at positions 28 to 523 of the family's 1533-position model. The record is from RNAcentral.
AAUGAACGUUGGCGGCGUGGAUUAGGCAUGCAAGUCGUGCGGAAAGGCUCCUUCGGGAGUACUCGAGCGGCGAAAGGGAGAGUAACGCGUGGAUAUCUACCCCCUGGACCGGGAUAGCGGCGGGAAACUGCCGGUAAUACCGGAUAACGUCUGCGGACCAAAGGUGUGAUUCCGCCGGGGGAUGAGUUCGCGUCCUAUUAGCUAGUUGGUAGGGUAACGGCCUACCAAGGCGAAGAUGGGUACCGGGUGUGAGAGCAUGGGCCGGCUCACUGGGACUGAGACACUGGCCAGACACCAACGGGUGGCUGCAGUCGAGAAUCUUCGGGAAUGGGCGCAAGCCUGACCGAGCGACGCCGCGUGCGGGAUGAAGGCCUUCGGGUUGUAAACCGCUGUCAGAGGGGAGGAAAUGCGUGGGAGUCCUCUUUCACGUUUGACCUAUCCUCAGAGGAAGUACGGGCUAAGUUCGUGCCAGCAGCCGCCGCAG